RNAcentral lists this unclassified non-coding RNA (524 nucleotides) under Hevea brasiliensis (rubber tree). Lineage: Eukaryota; Viridiplantae; Streptophyta; Magnoliopsida; Malpighiales; Euphorbiaceae. The record is from RNAcentral.
UGAGGCUUUACAUCACAGUGUAGAACCCAUUCCAAGCAUUCUUCAUGUAAAUAUGCAAGCCCCUUUGCUGUGCCCAGAGCAAUAUGGAAUCUCUUUCGCCAAUCAACUGCUCUAGAGGAGAGUUUUUCUGCUAAGGACCCAUGCUCCAUGUACUCAUAAACUAAAAGCCUGUGCUUUCUUUCUGCACAAUAGCCCCACAUCUCUAUCAAGUUCAUGUGAUUAAUCUUCCCAAUGGUGCUUACUUCUGUUAGGAAUUCAGCUUCUCCUUGGUUAGCAAUAUUAAGUCGUUUGAUUGCGGCAAUCCGAUUGUCAGGCAGUGUUCCUUUGUACACAGUUCCUCCUGCUCCUCUUCCAAUUUCCACUCUGAAAUUUCCUGUUGCUUUUUUCAAUUCAGAAUAGGUGAAUCUUUUAAAUCCAGUGAUUGCAGGAUGGAGGUAGCCUUGAGAAGCUUCAUUCAAGUCCUUCUCGGAGCUGAACAAGAAACACCAAACCAAAAGAAUCCCAAUUAUCUCCACUGCUCCUAA